AAAAUGUUUUUUUUAAACUUUUACAUAAGUCUGGAAAUCUUAGUUAGUGUCAUAGAUUAAAUACCAGUAAUGGGGUCUUACCUAUCAGCUAGAGUUUUUGAUAUGGCUUCUAGAUCAUGAUGCGUUAUUUAACUUGGGAUUGUGCCAACUGAGCCAAGUGUCUUGAGUUCAAACUCCUUGGCUGUAAUGUUAAAUCAAAAUAAGUCUUAAGGGAGGAAAGAUAUAAGUUAUAUAGGGUUUACAAAUGAAAUCAAGAGAGGAAAAUAUUCUACCGCUUGCAAAGCUAAUCACUUACUACACUAAAAAGAAUAGUCAAUCAUGCAAAUGAAGAAAGACUUUAAUUUUCUACAAGUUUCAACAGUGGCUUUCUGCUGUUGUUUCUAAAUGCUAUUGAAUUCCAAUUUAGGUCCCGAAAAUUAUGUUGAAGCUUUCUCUUUAAUGCUAUCUCUGGGUUUUCGAUGUCCAUAACAUAAUAAGUUAUUUAUUUAGACUCAAUUAUUUUGAUACAGUUAUGUAUGUGGAGCAUUGAUAAAUGGGAGAAGCUGAAAUCCAGGUUCAUACAAGCACCAGCUGGCCAUCAAUCCCCUCUGGUCGGAGAAACUAAAGUCCAGUUUCAUAAUGAUCAAACACAUCUAUUGGUGUUUCAUGAUAGCCAAAUUUUCAUUUAUGACAGCAAGCUCGAAUGUUCAUAUUCUGUAAGUUUUGCUUCCAUCUCAUCUUGUUUUAGUGUGUCAUCAGUUCGCUCUCGCUUUAAGUAAACUUACCAUAUGAUAGUUUAUAUGACCAUGAUCUCAAUUCAAUUAAAUUAUGUGGAAACAUAGCAUCAUGAUAAUAUAGGUUGAUGAGACCCAAAUCACAUAUUCUUGUUUGCUUAAAAGAGUAAGUUAUGUAGCUUAUUAUCAUCACUGUACUAAUUCCACCUUGACCAGCUGGAGUAAAGGUGUCUAGAAUGUAUUUUUAUUGAUGGUAUGCUAGAAGCCUUGUGCAUGGCUUAUCACACUUUGUUGGAAGUUUUAUUGCUGGUGCUGCAACAUGUCUGGCAAAUGUUACUAUGUGCUUAUGCUAUGUAUUUAUAACUUGUAAUGGUCUCCAAUAGAUACACUCCCCGCUUCUAUUUCAAGAGCAAUAUAUUCAUGUGAUGGUUUACUGGUGCUGUUGGAGUUUUUGAUGCUGACAAUUUAAGGCUCUGAUGUAGAAUAGCACCUUCUGCCUAAAUACCUUCCCUCACUGGCAGCAACACUACCACCUAUCCUUUUGGUAUAGUGGCUCAUCCAUCUGAGCCUAAUCAAAUCGCUCUUGGCAUGAGUGAUAGAGCAGUGCAUGUAGUCAUGCCUUCUGAUACCAAGUUGAAGUGGGGUGGUACACCCUCCCAAGACAAUGGACCCUUCCCUCUUAUUCGUCAAAUCCUUCUUUGGCUGGUCAACCAUCAGAGCUCCCUCCCAGGUAACUGCUGUGGCAUAUAAGAUGAGAAAGGUUAGACAAGGAGUAUAGACACAUUGAGCUGCACUUUUUUUUUGGUUCUUAGUAUUGAAAAUCAUCCUUUUCACUCUUUAACUUCCUCCAAAUCACGCCAUGCUAUAUCUGUUGUAAAUUAGUUUUCUCGUUGGUUGUUUUGCUUCAUGAAGUUCUAGAGAGAAACAUUUUCUCUGAAACUGAGAACACACCCCGGCUUCAACAAGCUGAUUUGAUGACACCUUAGAGGCUUUUCCUUGUAUGAUGUUGUAUACAUUAAAGGUUUUUGGAAUGAAAAUGGUCAUUGUUGCCAUACCUGUCUGUUUUUGUAUUGAAACCACCCUUUUCUUUUGUUUAUUUUGGGCUGCUCCGUUGUAAAGAUGCUUAAUUUAUACUUCCACUUCUCUUCCCAA
Long non-coding RNA from Mangifera indica (mango), 1865 nucleotides. RefSeq lists it as uncharacterized. The transcript is spliced from 2 exons. Lineage: Eukaryota; Viridiplantae; Streptophyta; Magnoliopsida; Sapindales; Anacardiaceae. The record is from RefSeq and is a predicted model, not a curated record.